GGCAGUGUGAUGUAGUGGUUGGAGAGUUGGACUAGGGCUCUGGAGACCAAGGUUCAAUUCCCAGCUCAGCCA
RNAcentral lists this transfer RNA (72 nucleotides) under Phrynosoma platyrhinos (Desert horned lizard). RNAcentral describes it as "tRNA-OTHER". Lineage: Eukaryota; Metazoa; Chordata; Lepidosauria; Squamata; Phrynosomatidae. The record is from RNAcentral.